Molecule: ribosomal RNA, 75 nt
Filed under: Mammaliicoccus fleurettii
Lineage: Bacteria; Bacillati; Bacillota; Bacilli; Caryophanales; Staphylococcaceae
Description: Staphylococcus fleurettii partial 16S ribosomal RNA
Rfam family: Bacterial small subunit ribosomal RNA (bases 13-75)
Source: RNAcentral
AAGCUUACUUCUAUUAUGGAGAGUUUGAUCCUGGCUCAGGAUGAACGCUGGCGGCGUGCCUAAUACAUGCAAGUC